Molecule: ribosomal RNA, 2841 nt
Filed under: Aquiflexum gelatinilyticum
Lineage: Bacteria; Pseudomonadati; Bacteroidota; Cytophagia; Cytophagales; Cyclobacteriaceae
Description: 23S ribosomal RNA
Rfam family: Bacterial large subunit ribosomal RNA
Source: RNAcentral
GAGUAAGUGAACAAGGGCGUACGGGGGAUGCCUAGGCUCUCAGAGGCGAAGAAGGACGUGCCAAGCUGCGAAAAGCCGCGGGGACCUGCAAGGGGGUUUGAUCCGCGGAUGUCCGAAUGGGGCAACCCAUCCACAGCGAUGUGGAUAUUCCGAAAAGGAAGGCGAACGUGGGGAACUGAAACAUCUAAGUACCCACAGGAAGAGAAAACAACAGUGAUUCCGUGAGUAGUGGCGAGCGAAAGCGGAACAGCCCAAACCGUGCAUGUUACGGCAUGCGCGGGGUUAUAGGACCUGCAGGAUUGUAUUGAAUGUGACCGGAACACAGUGGGAACUGUGGCCAUAGCGGGUGAGAGCCCCUUACGGGAAGCAUGAGAUACGAGGCGGGUAUCCUGAGUAGGCCGGGACAGGAGAAAUCCCGGUUGAAUUUGCCGGCACCAUCCGGUAAGGCUAAAUACUCCUGAGAGACCGAUAGUGUACAAGUACCGUGAGGGAAAGGUGAAAAGUACCGUGAAUAACGGGGUGAAAUAGAACCUGAAACCGUGCGCCUACAAGCGGUCGGAGCGGAGCGAUUCCGUGACGGCGUGCCUUUUGCAUAAUGAGCCUACGAGUUACUCCUCACUGGCGAGGUUAAGUGCAUGGAUGCACGCAGCCGGAGCGAAAGCGAGUCUGAACAGGGCGCUUAGUCAGUGGGGGUAGACGCGAAACUUUGUGAUCUACCCAUGGACAGGUUGAAGCGGCGGUAAGACGCCGUGGAGGACCGAACCGAUAAGCGUUGAAAAGCUUCCGGAUGAUCUGUGGGUAGGGGUGAAAGGCCAAUCAAACUGAGAAAUAGCUCGUACUCCCCGAAAUGUUUUUAGGAACAGCGUCGUGGAAUGUAUGGCGGAGGUAGAGCUACCGAUAGGACUAGGGGGAGUCAUAUCCUACCAAAUCCUGACGAACUCCGAAUGCCGCCAUACAGUAACGGCAGUGAGGGCUUGGGUGCUAAGGUCCGAGUCCGAGAGGGAAAGAACCCAGACCUACCGCUAAGGUCCCGAAAUCCACACUAAGUUGAACAAAGGUGGUCCAGCUGCUUAGACAGCCAGGAGGUUAGCUUGGAAGCAGCUAUUCCUUUAAAGAGUGCGUAACAGCUCACUGGUCGAGCGGCAGGGCGUCGAUAAUAAACGGGCAUCAAGUGUGGUACCGAAGCGUAGGAUUUACGGCAACGUAUAAUGGUAGGGGAGCAUUCCAACGGCGGUGAAUGUGCAUGGCGAUGUGCACUGGAGCUUUUGGAAAAGCAAAUGUAGGCAUAAGUAACGAUAAUGCGGGUGGGAAACCCGCACACCGAUAGACCAAGGUUUCCUGAUCAAUGCUAAUCAGAUCAGGGUCAGUCGGGACCUAAGGCGCACCCGAAAGGGACAGCCGAUGGACAACAGGUGAAUAUUCCUGUACCGCGCGUAUGAUAAAAGCGACGUAGGGGUGUACCCGGUGCGCACUGACGGAAUAGUGCGUUGAACCACAUGAGAGUGUGGGAUAGUACACGGAGGCCUCGGCCGAAGUGAUAAUCCGGGGAAGCAACUUCCAAGAAAAGCGAAUACGCGUGCCCGUACCGCAAACCGACACAGGUGGUCAAGGAGAGGAUCCUGAGGUGCUCGAGUGAAUCAUGGCUAAGGAACUCGGCAAAAUGGCCCUGUAACUUCGGGAGAAGGGGCGCCUACCCUCACUUCGGUGAGGGAGGCCGCAGUGAAAAGGCCCAGGCGACUGUUUAGCAAAAACACAUGGCUUUGCGAACUCGAAAGAGGAAGUAUAAGGCCUGACACCUGCCCGGUGCCGGAAGGUUAAGAGGGGAGCUCAGCGCAAGCGAAGGUUUGAAUCGAAGCCCCGGUAAACGGCGGCCGUAACUAUAACGGUCCUAAGGUAGCGAAAUUCCUUGUCGGGUAAGUUCCGACCUGCACGAAUGGUGUAACGAUCUGGGCGCUGUCUCAGCCAUGAGCUCGGUGAAAUUGUAGUCACGGUGAAGAUGCCGUGUACCCGCAACGGGACGGAAAGACCCCAUGAACCUUUACUGCAGCUUAGCAUUGGUACCGGGUAAACGAUGUGUAGGAUAGGCGGGAGGCUUUGAAGUGGCGUCGCCAGGCGCUGCGGAGCCGUUGUUGAAAUACCGCCCUUUGUUUGCUUGGUAUCUAACCCCGCAGAAGCGGGAGACAUUGCUUGGUGGGUAGUUUGACUGGGGUGGUCGCCUCCAAAAGGAUAACGGAGGCUUCCAAAGGUUCCCUCAGCACGCUUGGUAACCGUGCGCGGAGUGCAAUAGCAUAAGGGAGCUUGACUGUAAGGCCGACAAGCCGAGCAGGGUGGAAACACGGGUAUAGUGAUCCGGCGGUACAGCAUGGAAUGGCCGUCGCUCAAAGGAUAAAAGGUACUCUGGGGAUAACAGGCUGAUCUCCCCCAAGAGCUCAUAUCGACGGGGAGGUUUGGCACCUCGAUGUCGGCUCGUCACAUCCUGGGGCUGGAGAAGGUCCCAAGGGUUCGGCUGUUCGCCGAUUAAAGUGGCACGCGAGCUGGGUUCAGAACGUCGUGAGACAGUUCGGUCCCUAUCUGUUGCGGGCGUGGGAAGUUUGAGGAGCGCUGACCUUAGUACGAGAGGACCGGGUUGGACUGACCGCUGGUGUACCGGUUGUGGUGCCAACUGCACUGCCGGGUAGCUACGUCGGGAAGAGAUAAGCGCUGAAAGCAUCUAAGUGCGAAACUCCCUCCAAGAUGAGACUUCCAAACAGGGCCGUCAGAGACGAUGACGUCGAUAGGCUGCAGGUGCAAAGUCAGUAAUGACAAAGCCGAGCAGUACUAAUAGCCCGAAAACUUGCUUCA